Molecule: ribosomal RNA, 497 nt
Filed under: uncultured bacterium
Lineage: Bacteria
Description: partial 16S ribosomal RNA
Rfam family: Bacterial small subunit ribosomal RNA
Source: RNAcentral
GAUGAACGCUGGCGGCGUGCCUAAUACAUGCAAGUCGAGCGAACGGACGAGAAGCUUGCUUUUCUGAUGUUAGCGGCGGACGGGUGAGUAACACGUGGAUAACCUACCUAUAAGACUGGGAUAACUUCGGGAAACCGGAGCUAAUACCGGAUAAUAUUUUGAACCGCAUGGUUCAAAAGUGAAAGACGGUCUUGCUGUCACUUACAGAUGGAUCCGCGCUGCAUUAGCUAGUUGGUAAGGUAACGGCUUACCAAGGCAACGAUGCAUAGCCGACCUGAGAGGGUGAUCGGCCACACUGGAACUGAGACACGGUCCAGACUCCUACGGGAGGCAGCAGUAGGGAAUCUUCCGCAAUGGGCGAAGGCCUGACGGAGCAACGCCGCGUGAGUGAUGAAGGUCUUCGGAUCGUAAAACUCUGUUAUUAGGGAAGAACAUAUGUGUAAGUAACUGUGCACAUCUUGACGGUACCUAAUCAGAAAGCCACGGCUAACUACGUG